RNAcentral lists this ribosomal RNA (911 nucleotides) under Cordyceps bifusispora. RNAcentral describes it as "SSU rRNA". It matches the Rfam family "Eukaryotic small subunit ribosomal RNA", at positions 203 to 1122 of the family's 1831-position model. Lineage: Eukaryota; Fungi; Ascomycota; Sordariomycetes; Hypocreales; Cordycipitaceae. The record is from RNAcentral.
GUAUUUAUUAGAUUAAAAACCAAUGCCCUCUGGGCUCCUUGGUGAUUCAUGAUAACUCUUCGAAUCGCACGGCCUUGCGCCGGCGAUGGUUCAUUCAAAUUUCUUCCCUAUCAACUUUCGAUGUUUGGGUAUUGGCCAAACAUGGUUGCAACGGGUAACGGAGGGUUAGGGCUCGACCCCGGAGAAGGAGCCUGAGAAACGGCUACUACAUCCAAGGAAGGCAGCAGGCGCGCAAAUUACCCAAUCCCGAUUCGGGGAGGUAGUGACAAUAAAUACUGAUACAGGGCUCUUUUGGGUCUUGUAAUUGGAAUGAGUACAAUUUAAAUCCCUUAACGAGGAACAAUUGGAGGGCAAGUCUGGUGCCAGCAGCCGCGGUAAUUCCAGCUCCAAUAGCGUAUAUUAAAGUUGUUGUGGUUAAAAAGCUCGUAGUUGAACCUUGGGCCUGGCUGGCCGGUCCGCCUCACCGCGUGCACUGGUCCGGCCGGGCCUUUCCCUCUGUGGAACCCCAUGCCCUUCACUGGGCGUGGCGGGGAAACAGGACGUUUACUUUGAAAAAAUUAGAGUGCUCCAGGCAGGCCUAUGCUCGAAUACAUUAGCAUGGAAUAAUGAAAUAGGACGCGUGGUUCUAUUUUGUUGGUUUCUAGGACCGCCGUAAUGAUUAAUAGGGACAGUCGGGGGCAUCAGUAUUCAAUUGUCAGAGGUGAAAUUCUUGGAUUUAUUGAAGACUAACUACUGCGAAAGCAUUUGCCAAGGAUGUUUUCAUUAAUCAGGAACGAAAGUUAGGGGAUCGAAGACGAUCAGAUACCGUCGUAGUCUUAACCAUAAACUAUGCCGACUAGGGAUCGGACGAUGUUAUUUUUUGACGCGUUCGGCACCUUACGAGAAAUCAAAGUGCUUGGGCUCCAGGGGGA